RNAcentral lists this ribosomal RNA (677 nucleotides) under Ligilactobacillus acidipiscis. Its description in RNAcentral is "bacterial SSU rRNA". It matches the Rfam family "Bacterial small subunit ribosomal RNA", at positions 87 to 750 of the family's 1533-position model. Lineage: Bacteria; Bacillati; Bacillota; Bacilli; Lactobacillales; Lactobacillaceae. The record is from RNAcentral.
AAGUGCGAGUGGCGAACGGGUGAGUAACACGUGGGCAAUCUGCCCAAAAGUGGGGGAUAACACUUGGAAACAGGUGCUAAUACCGCAUCAACCGGCUGACCGCAUGGUCGGCCGGGCAAAGACGGCGUCAGCUGUCGCUUUUGGAUGAGCCCGCGGCGUAUUAACUAGUUGGUAAGGUAACGGCUUACCAAGGUGAUGAUACGUAGCCGAACUGAGAGGUUGAUCGGCCACAUUGGGACUGAGACACGGCCCAAACUCCUACGGGAGGCAGCAGUAGGGAAUCUUCCACAAUGGACGCAAGUCUGAUGGAGCAACGCCGCGUGUAUGAAGAAGGUCUUCGGAUCGUAAAAUACUGUUGUCAGAGAAGAACACGUGAUAGAGUAACUGCUAUGGCGCUGACGGUAUCUGACCAGCAAGUCACGGCUAACUACGUGCCAGCAGCCGCGGUAAUACGUAGGUGGCAAGCGUUGUCCGGAUUUAUUGGGCGUAAAGGGAACGCAGGCGGUCUUUUAAGUCUGAUGUGAAAGCCUUCGGCUUAACCGGAGAAGUGCAUUGGAAACUGGAAGACUUGAGUGCAGAAGAGGAGAGUGGAACUCCAUGUGUAGCGGUGAAAUGCGUAGAUAUAUGGAAGAACACCAGUGGCGAAAGCGGCUCUCUGGUCUGUAACUGACGCUGAG